CGGUUGAUCCUGCCGGAGGCCACUGCUAUUGGGAUCCGAUUAAGCCAUGCGAGUCGAGAGGGUUCGGCCCUCGGCAGACGGCUCAGUAACACGUGGAUAAUCUGCCCUUAGGUGGAGGAUAACCUCGGAAAACUGAGAAUAAUACUCCAUAGGUCUAGAAGGCUGGAAUGCAUCUAGGCUAAAAGCUCAGGCGCCUAAGGAUGAGUCCGCGGACUAUCAGGUAGUAGUCAGGGUAAAGACCUGACUAGCCUACGACGGAUACGGGUUGUGAGAGCAAUUGCCCGGAGACGAUAUCUGAGACACGAUAUCGGGCCCUACGGGGCGCAGCAGGCGCGAAACCUUCACACUGUGCGAGAGCACGAUGAGGGGAUCCCAAGUGCUAGCUCGUAAGAGUUAGCUGUUUCUCUGUCUAAAAAACAGAGAGAGUAAGAGCUGGGUAAGACGGGUGCCAGCCGCCGCGGUAAUACCUGCAGCUCAAGUGGUGGCCGCUAUUAUUGGGCCUAAAACGUUCGUAGCCGGUUUAGUAAAUGCUUGGGUAAAUUGUGUCGCUUAACGAUACGAAUUCCGGGUAGACUGCUAAACUUGAGACCGGGAGAGGCUAGAGGUACUCCUGGGGUAGAGGUGAAAUUCUGUAAUCCUAGGGGGACCACCAGUGGCGAAAGGCGUCUAGCUAGAACGGGUCUGACGGUGAGGGACGAAGCCCUGGGGCGCAAACCGGAUUAGAUACCCGGGUAGUCCAGGGUGUAAACGCUGCUCGCUUGAUGUUAGUUGGGCUCCGAGCCCAACUAGUGUCGGGGAGAAGUUGUUAAGCGAGCUGCCUGGGAAGUACGGUCGGACGACUGAAACUUAAAGGGAUUGGCGGGGGAGCAC
Molecule: ribosomal RNA, 870 nt
Filed under: uncultured archaeon
Lineage: Archaea
Description: bacterial SSU rRNA
Rfam family: Archaeal small subunit ribosomal RNA
Source: RNAcentral